This 253-nucleotide ribosomal RNA is filed under the name uncultured bacterium. Its description in RNAcentral is "partial 16S ribosomal RNA". It matches the Rfam family "Bacterial small subunit ribosomal RNA", at positions 524 to 776 of the family's 1533-position model. The record is from RNAcentral.
UACGUAGGGUGCAAGCGUUGUCCGGAAUUAUUGGGCGUAAAGAGCUCGUAGGCGGUCUGUCGCGUCGAAUGUGAAAACCCGGGGCUCAACCCCGGGCCUGCAUUCGAUACGGGCAGACUAGAGUUCGGUAGGGGAGUCUGGAAUUCCCGGUGUAGCGGUGAAAUGCGCAGAUAUCAGGAGGAACACCGGUGGCGAAGGCGGGACUCUGGGCCGAUACUGACGCUGAGGAGCGAAAGCGUGGGGAGCGAACAGG